UGGUAGUGGGGCACAACGUUUCGAAAGGAACGCUAAUACGGCAUACGUCCUACGGGAGAAAGCAGGGGACCUUCGGGCCUUGCGCUAUCAGAUGAGCGUAGGUCGGAUUAGCUAGUUGGUGAGGUAAUGGCUCACCAAGGCGCCGAUCCGUAACUGGUCUGAGAGGAUGAUCAGUCACACCGGAACUGAGUCACGGUCCAGACUCCUACGGGAGGCAGCAGUGGGGAAUAUUGGACAAUGGGCGAAAGCCUGAUCCAGCCAUGCCGCGUGUGUGAAGAAGGUCUUCGGAUUGUAAAGCACUUUAAGUUGGGAGGAAGGGCAUUAACCUAAUACGUUAGUGUUUUGACGUUACCAACAGAAUAAGCACCGGCUAACUCUGUGCCAGCAGCCGCGGUAAUACAGAGGGUGCAAGCGUUAAUCGGAAUUACUGGGCGUAAAGCGCGCGUAGGUGGUUUGUUAAGUUGGAUGUGAAAUCCCCGGGCUCAACCUGGGAACUGCAUCCAAAACUGGCAAGCUAGAGUAGGGCAGAGGGUGGUGGAAUUUCCUGUGUAGCGGUGAAAUGCGUAGAUAUAGGAAGGAACACCUGUGGCGAAGGCGACCACCUGGGCUCAUACUGACACUGAGGUGCGAAAGCG
This 635-nucleotide ribosomal RNA is filed under the name Pseudomonas sp. NSi15. RNAcentral's name for it is "bacterial SSU rRNA". It matches the Rfam family "Bacterial small subunit ribosomal RNA", at positions 131 to 761 of the family's 1533-position model. The record is from RNAcentral. Lineage: Bacteria; Pseudomonadati; Pseudomonadota; Gammaproteobacteria; Pseudomonadales; Pseudomonadaceae.